GGAUGUUAUUGUGGCUACACUGGGAUUCGAAUCCUCGACCUUGCCUGUCCCAGUCAUUUACCUUAACCACUACACUACAGGCCGCCCAUCUUAUUAGGAAGCAAGCAAGAUCUUUUUUUAGUCGCUUUUUACUAAAAAGUACACUACUCUGGAACAGUCGUAUGGACAGAUCAGACGCGUAUUAACCUGCGCCUGUGAAAAGAGGCACUUGUAGAGAAAGAACGUGCUUUGAUUCAGAGCCCUGGCCUCUGAAACAUGCUGGAGGCACUGCAGUAUUGUGUAUCGCUGCCACUGGACCUGGCCCACUUGUCUUCAGUGACGAUGUGACUCCUGACGGCAGCCGCAGGAUGAAUUCUGCUCCAUCUGGAACUUUCCGCAGGACACUGACCCCAAACUUACUGCUCAAGCCACCAAGGAGUUUAGAGUCAGGGCCAAGAUGGUGGAAUGUUCUUGCCUGGCCAAGUCAAUCACCUGCCCUGAAUCCCAUUAAACAUGCACUACACCCGCUGAAGGCAAAAUGGCUCAGAAACAGUACCUGAAGAUGGCUGCAGUACAGGUGUGGUAUGGUACAGGUGUGGCAGAAGUACAGGUGUGGUAUGGUACAGGUGUGGCAGAAGUACAGGUGUGGUAUGGUACAGGUGUGGUAGAAGUACAGGUGUGGUAUGGUACAGGUGUGGCAGAGAAUCAUCUGGGAAGAUAGCCACCAUUUGGUGAUGUAUAUGGGUCUAUGACUUAAGACAGUCAUCAAAUGUGAAGGGUUUGAAACAAAUAACUAAAAUAUGACUGUUUCAUCAAUUACGUUUUUCCAAUUACGUUUGAGUAAGGGGCGUGCUAUGUAUAAAAAGGGAGGUAAUUCUUACAUGAAUUACCCGGUAUUCAUGUAAAUGAAAUUAAAGCUGACAGUCUGCUCUUUAACAUCAGAUUGAAUUAAAUGUAUUAUUGAACUGGAUGCAACAACAUCACACCCAUGCAACUGAACUUUAGUCACAUCGCAAGAGGAAGCAUCACAUAUCAAUACAUAUUCAUUUUCAUAAAUUGCAUAACCUGACAGGUGUAUAUUGUGUGAUUGCAAAACUUCAUACUGUACAGUUUAUGUAACAUUACAAUGUGAAUGUAACAUUUGAUCUGCCACCUUUAUAUUAAUUGUAAAACUGCAAUACAUUAGUGAUUAAAAUUGUUUAUUUCUGUGCCAACAAGGGGAAAUGCAGUUAGGUUUUACAAGAGUGUUUAUAAAUGUCUGUGUCAUGCUAAGGAGUGUACCAUGUUCGCAUUAAAUGCUAGUCUGCAAAUGGUGACCUACUGCAAACCAAGCUAACUACUGACAGUAAUACUGUACACAAAGUGUAAACAAGAAAAACAAAACAUUCAUGUAAAUAAAGAUUAUAGUUUGUUUUG
Conger conger (European conger) is the source of this 1395-nucleotide long non-coding RNA. RefSeq lists it as uncharacterized. The record is from RefSeq and is a predicted model, not a curated record. The transcript is spliced from 2 exons. Lineage: Eukaryota; Metazoa; Chordata; Actinopteri; Anguilliformes; Congridae.